CUGGCUCAGGAUGAACGCUGGCGGCGUGCCUAAUACAUGCAAGUCGAGCGAACGGACGAGAAGCUUGCUUCUCUGAUGUUAGCGGCGGACGGGUGAGUAACACGUGGAUAACCUACCUAUAAGACUGGGAUAACUUCGGGAAACCGGAGCUAAUACCGGAUAAUAUUUUGAACCGCAUGGUUCAAAAGUGAAAGACGGUCUUGCUGUCACUUAUAGAUGGAUCCGCGCUGCAUUAGCUAGUUGGUAAGGUAACGGCUUACCAAGGCAACGAUGCAUAGCCGACCUGAGAGGGUGAUCGGCCACACUGGAACUGAGACACGGUCCAGACUCCUACGGGAGGCAGCAGUAGGGAAUCUUCCGCAAUGGGCGAAAGCCUGACGGAGCAACGCCGCGUGAGUGAUGAAGGUCUUCGGAUCGUAAAACUCUGUUAUUAGGGAAGAACAUAUGUGUAAGUAACUGUGCACAUCUUGACGGUACCUAAUCAGAAAGCCACGGCUAACUACGUGCCAGCAGCCGCGGUAAUACGUAGGUGGCAAGCGUUAUCCGGAAUUAUUGGGCGUAAAGCGCGCGUAGGCGGUUUUUUAAGUCUGAUGUGAAAGCCCACGGCUCAACCGUGGAGGGUCAUUGGAAACUGGAAAACUUGAGUGCAGAAGAGGAAAGUGGAAUUCCAUGUGUAGCGGUGAAAUGCGCAGAGAUAUGGAGGAACACCAGUGGCGAAGGCGACUUUCUGGUCUGUAACUGACGCUGAUGUGCGAAAGCGUGGGGAUCAAACAGGAUUAGAUACCCUGGUAGUCCACGCCGUAAACGAUGAGUGCUAAGUGUUAGGGGGUUUCCGCCCCUUAGUGCUGCAGCUAACGCAUUAAGCACUCCGCCUGGGGAGUACGACCGCAAGGUUGAAACUCAAAGGAAUUGACGGGGACCCGCACAAGCGGUGGAGCAUGUGGUUUAAUUCGAAGCAACGCGAAGAACCUUACCAAAUCUUGACAUCCUUUGACAACUCUAGAGAUAGAGCCUUCCCCUUCGGGGGACAAAGUGACAGGUGGUGCAUGGUUGUCGUCAGCUCGUGUCGUGAGAUGUUGGGUUAAGUCCCGCAACGAGCGCAACCCUUAAGCUUAGUUGCCAU
RNAcentral lists this ribosomal RNA (1123 nucleotides) under Staphylococcus aureus. RNAcentral's name for it is "bacterial SSU rRNA". It matches the Rfam family "Bacterial small subunit ribosomal RNA", at positions 19 to 1121 of the family's 1533-position model. The record is from RNAcentral. Lineage: Bacteria; Bacillati; Bacillota; Bacilli; Caryophanales; Staphylococcaceae.